RNAcentral lists this ribosomal RNA (1291 nucleotides) under Sphaerospermopsis eucompacta CHAB923. RNAcentral describes it as "bacterial SSU rRNA". It matches the Rfam family "Bacterial small subunit ribosomal RNA", at positions 104 to 1429 of the family's 1533-position model. Lineage: Bacteria; Bacillati; Cyanobacteriota; Cyanophyceae; Nostocales; Aphanizomenonaceae. The record is from RNAcentral.
GGGUGAGUAACGCGUGAGAAUUUGGCUUCAGGUCGGGGACAACAGUUGGAAACGACUGCUAAUACCGGAUGUGCCGAAAGGUGAAAGAUUAAUCGCCUGAAGAUAAGCUCGCGUCUGAUUAGCUAGUUGGUGGGGUAAGGGCCUACCAAGGCGACGAUCAGUAGCUGGUCUGAGAGGAUGAUCAGCCACACUGGGACUGAGACACGGCCCAGACUCCUACGGGAGGCAGCAGUGGGGAAUUUUCCGCAAUGGGCGAAAGCCUGACGGAGCAAUACCGCGUGAGGGAGGAAGGCUCUUGGGUCGUAAACCUCUUUUCUCAAGGAAGAAGAAAGUGACGGUACUUGAGGAAUAAGCAUCGGCUAACUCCGUGCCAGCAGCCGCGGUAAUACGGAGGAUGCAAGCGUUAUCCGGAAUGAUUGGGCGUAAAGGGUCUGUAGGUGGUACUGAAAGUCUGCUGUUAAAGAGUCACGCUCAACGUGAUAAGAGCGGUGGAAACUACAGAACUAGAGUGCGGUAGGGGCAAAAGGAAUUCCUGGUGUAGCGGUGAAAUGCGUAGAUAUCAGGAAGAACACCGGUGGCGAAAGCGUUUUGCUAGACCGCAACUGACACUGAGGGACGAAAGCUAGGGGAGCGAAUGGGAUUAGAUACCCCAGUAGUCCUAGCCGUAAACGAUGGAUACUAGGCGUGGCUUGUAUCGACCCGAGCCGUGCCGGAGCUAACGCGUUAAGUAUCCCGCCUGGGGAGUACGCACGCAAGUGUGAAACUCAAAGGAAUUGACGGGGGCCCGCACAAGCGGUGGAGUAUGUGGUUUAAUUCGAUGCAACGCGAAGAACCUUACCAAGACUUGACAUCCUGCGAAUCCCGGUGAAAGCUGGGAGUGCCUUAGGGAGCGCAGAGACAGGUGGUGCAUGGCUGUCGUCAGCUCGUGUCGUGAGAUGUUGGGUUAAGUCCCGCAACGAGCGCAACCCUCGUUUUUAGUUGCCAGCAUUAGGUUGGGCACUCUAGAGAGACUGCCGGUGACAAACCGGAGGAAGGUGAGGAUGACGUCAAGUCAGCAUGCCCCUUACGUCUUGGGCUACACACGUACUACAAUGCUACGGACAAAGGGAAGCUACACAGCGAUGUGAUGCGAAUCUCAGAAACCGUAGCUCAGUUCAGAUCGAAGGCUGCAACUCGCCUUCGUGAAGGAGGAAUCGCUAGUAAUUGCAGGUCAGCAUACUGCAGUGAAUUCGUUCCCGGGCCUUGUACACACCGCCCGUCACACCAUGGAAGUUGGUCACGCCCGAAGUCG